UAGGUUUUACAUAAAAUAUAACAUUGUGAAUGCUAUUUAUCAACAAUAAAGUAAUUUUAUCACAGUGAGAAAUAUGUAUUUAUUAAUAAAUAAAAAUAAAAUAGCAAUAUUUAUAUAUAUAUAUCAAAUUGUUGUUGGUUUCAAAAUCCUAGAAGUAUAUCAUUGUGUUACGCUAGGAUUGUUAUUGCAAUUCUUUGAGGCAUCCUAAUGGAAAGUGCAUUUAAAUUGAAGUUGCUGCAUAAUAUAUAUUAUUUUCAAGAAACAGACUUAAAACGUGUAAUUUUUCGUAGUCAAGCAUACAUAGAGAAAUUAUUGUAUGUGAUGUCAAAGUAUUAAUUUGAAAAUGUAAGUAAAUGAUCAUUGAGGUGUAGUCAUCUUUUAUGAUAAUCCUAUAAACCGGAAAAACUGCAAAAAUAGACUUGUUUUGUUCACUACUACAGUUCAGGCUAAUUUUCUUCUGCAUGUGAUUUGAAGCCCUCUCAAUAUUGAAAACACAAAAAAGACUGCCUAAUUUAACCUAGUUAUUGUUUAGUUCUUUGGGUUUUUUUAAGGAAAACGAAUCAUGCCAAAAGGUGGACAUAGGGUCUCGAAAUUGUUUCGCUCACUCUUACAAUGAAUGGUACAAAAUGACAAAUCUAAUCACGUGAUAUGUAGUAUAUUAGUCAAAAUCAAUAUGCAUGUAAAUAUUCAUUAUAAAAUGAUAAAUAAGAUUAAAAAAUGGAAAAAAAACACUUUAAUAAUUUAUUGCGUCCCAAAGCGCUUUCUGGAUUUACUUCAUGAAGGACGCUCAAAGACAACAUUUGAAAUCCGAAGAUGUAAAGUACCGAAAAUCGUUGAAGAGCUAUUAUAUGUCAAAAAUACCUAAAAUUAAUAGGCCAAUUCACUAAAGCCAAACUUUGCCUGAGGGAGUUGAAACCAUAGUUUCAAUAAUAAUUUCAAAAUUUAUAACGGAAAACUUUAGUAAGUUUGUUAAAUUCCAUGUCAGUACCGAAGCACUGACUACUGACUGAUGAACCCUCGGGGACUGAUAGUCCACCAGCAGAGGUAUCGACCCAGUGAUGUAUAAAAAAUGGAAAACAAACACGUUUUAAAUAAUUUAAUUGCGUCCGAAGUUAACAUGCUUUGUAUUUUUUUCUUCAACGUAGAAAACAAGUAAAACAAUAACAUUUAAAUGAACCUUCAUUUAUAAAAAAUCAAACGUAAUACAUUGCAUAGUUCAAUUGUUUUUAAUAUAACCUUACGAAUAUACGUAAACCAUGAUUGGCACUCUAUACUUAUUGAUAAAUACCUGCAUUUAUCUCACAUAAAUAUAUAAGUGAAACUGUACAUGAAAAAAUCUUAUAGACCUUUUUGGAGGAAAUAAGUAUAUCGUCGCUGGGCUUCCAAAAAUGUCGUAUAUGACUUUUUGGCUAAAAAUACUUUUUGACACCAAUGGUCUAGGUCGGAGGAAAUCUUUGGUUUUACAAAAUAGCAUACAGUUAGACCAAUCAAAACGCUUGAAAUAGGACAUAUUACAAAUUUGGCAAUGUCAGUUGUUUGUAAAGUUUGCUUGCAAAAUGUGGUAUGAAAUCUUGAAAAUCGUUUUAUAGUGGACUUUGGGAAUGAAAUAAUUGUAAUUUCUUUAUUUCUGUGAAAAUAAUUCAAGUUCUUGGAUAAUUCAGAAAUGUCAGUUUUUAAUUCACUGCUAUUUGCAAAAAUGUUCAAGUUCACCUACGACAUUUUGGAAGCAUGUAUUUUGUCAAAAUUUUCAAAGUCUGUUUGUUAGAUAUUUUUUUCUUGAUUUUUUUUAAUUUACAACGUCUUAGAAGCCCAGUGACGAUAUAUGUAAUAUAUGCAAGGGGAAUGCAUUUAUUAUAAUUAACAUUACGUAUCAUAUAGUAGAUUAACAAUAUGUAUUGAUUCGGAAUAUUUGCGGAGUAUACUUUCUUUUGACUUCAUAGCUUUUUUGGUAUUUAUCGUUAACAUGAUAACAAUAAAAGUAUGUGUGCAUAAAACAACUAGCUCUUCUCACACUUAUACAUUUUCCUGUUAAAUGAAACAAUAAAUCUGGGUUUUUGACCAUGGGAAAACAUCCGUUUAACAAAGUUCAAAUUAAAAUACCAUUAACAUAAACUUGAUUUUUCUACACAGUCAAUAUAUACAUUCAUAACAAACAAAAAACCUUUAUCCUGACAAUGGACGGACAUACGAUCAAUCCGGACAGAUAUAAUGAUCUCAACAAUUGACGGACAUACGAACAAUCCGGACAGAUAUAAUGAUCUCAACAAUUGCAAUAGUAUAAAUACUCAAAUAAAUCUGUUAUGUAAAAUGCUUCCAAUAAUAUUAAAACAGUAUGUCUGAAUAGCACUAAUCAUAUGGCACUUUAUUUCUAAAUUUUGUCUCACUUUUCCAUGGGAAAUUUUUUAAUUGUGUAUUUCAAAUUUUACUAUUCAAGAAACUAGUUUGAAAAAUAAAAAUACAAAACAUAUUUCAAAAAUCACUUGCAAGAUCCCUGAUUGAAGAUUUCCGAAAACACAUUUCGUUUAGAAAAUAAAUGACCUUCUAAAUAAUGAAUCGCAAAUAAAAGUAAUAGAUAUUUAUUGUAAUGACUAAAACUAACUGUAAGAUAUUAUAUAAAAAAUUGUGACAGGCGAAGGACUACNNNNNNNNNNNNNNNNNNNNNNNNNUACAAGAUACAUACUCGAGACUAAAACUGAUAAGUGUGUAAUGCUGUGACAAUUAUCACUCAACACAGAAACUUAACUCUAUUUUAGAUUUUAGCGAGUGUAUAUAUAUUCACGGAGUGUUACAUAGUUAAAGACUUUUUAUCCAUAUUACCCUCAAAAGAGGGGUGUUCCUAACAGAGGAAGCUUAUACGAAGAAAAAAGAUUACACAAAGAUAUUCUACAUUAUAUUUUUCAUUAAGAUGAAAAGAAUUACAAAUGAAUUACAUUCCUUUAUAAAAAUCUUUUAUUUCAUUAAAAAUCUAAACCGAUUGUUUAAUGAUCUAUACAACUAAAGAUGUCAGACUUCAAACACAAUUCGAGCUUGAAUAUACCAUGCCUCAUAAAACAUACAAAUUCAGUCCGUUUAAAGGGAAAAAAAUAAUAAAACUUCAAUUUCAUUAAGCUUCAUUGAUAACACGACUUCAACACCACUUGCCAUUAAAAAAAAUACUACCUCACUUUGACUUAACUUGGCCAAAUAGAAAUUAUCAUUCAAAUUGAUCCGACUUCAAAGAAAAUAAAAAAAAUUUUGAAGUAGCUCAACGGGCGGCUUCUUAGAAAAUACGACUUCAUUUUCACUUGGCAACUUCGAGCAUACGAAUUUAGUUUGACUUUGGAACUCCGAAAAAAGAAUGCAAAUUACCCUGGCUACAAAGAAAAUAUGACUUAAAUUGGACAUGACUUCGUAGAAAAUAUAAUAAUGCUUUGUUCAUUUUGUUAAAUUGAGAAAAACAAUAUCGACUUCACCUUGUUUGAUUGAAAAACAAUAUCGAUUUCACUUUGUUUGAUUGAAAAACAAACUCGAUUUCACUUUGUUUAAUUCAAAAAACAAUCUCGAUUUUAAAAGGUUUCAGAGAAAAUCAGUGAAAAUGUUAAGGACAAGACAAUAGUCUUCAACCCAUUCAUGUUUCAUAGAAAACACGACUACAACUUCACAUGCCUCCAUAAAAUGUUCGACCUCACUUGGAUUUGGCUUCUUAAAAAAUAAGACUAUGAAUAAUGACAACAAAAGCGUCUUCAAUCUCAGAGAAAUUAAUUGGAUUGUACCACCAUCGUCACUUGUUUCCAAAUGUAUUUUUAAAAAACGAAUCAAGAAAAAUCUAUUGGUACACUAAUUGUUUCAUACUGAAGGUCAGCUCCUCUUUGGCAAAUUCUAAACAUUUGUAUUUAUAAAAAAAAACGACAUGUUAGCAGACGAACAGAAUGGGUGCGCAUCGUUCAUGUGAAGACCAUUUUUACACUAAAUGCAAUUGUGAGGAACUGUCCAAAAACGUUUGCAACAUUUAUAGAUUUAAAAAAGGCAUUUGACUUUGAUGAUAGAAAUGUGCUAAUGUACAAGCUUCUUUUAAAUAAAAAUCGAUUGGAAAAUGUAUAACUCUAUCAAAAACAUCUAUGUUAAUACUACCUCUUGUAUUCGUUUGAAUGAUACUUUGACGGUUUGGUUUAGUUGUAAUUCCAGUGUUCGACAAGGCGAUAAUCUUUCGCCGACGCUUUUCUCAAUUUUCAUUAAUGAUUUAGUACUGGAAGUUAAAGACCUUGACAUUGGUGUAAGCAAAGGAACUCAAAUGUAUCGAUACUGUUGUAUGCUGAAGAUAUAGUGUUUAUUUUACCAUUUAAAUCAGAUUAUAAAUGUGAAACUCGUGCUGAACGUUCUAUACUGGCACAAUUUAGAUACAGCAUACUUCCUUUGAGGAUCGAACCGGGCGGUUCGUCGGAGAAGCAGAAGCUGACCGUAUUUGAAAAAUGUGUGACUCACGUUAUGUCGAAAAUGAACGCCACUUCCCUUCCGAGAUUUAAGAAAUCAACUUAUAUUGGAUAUAGAACACACUUAUGAAGACAUUUCUAAAGAUGAACAAUUUAAACUGCUUAUCUGCAAAUAUCCUAGAAAUUUUUUAACAAUGCAUUUAAUAAGAGAAAAAACUUUUGUAUAGAAACAAUCAAAAUAGAAUUAUAAUUUUGUCCGCUGUUAAAUGAUUAUUAUUUUUUAUGUAUAAAUGCUUAAAGUGACUUAAAGGUCCAAAGGGCCUGUUGAUGAUAUAUGUAAUUACAACUGCUUAUUGAAAUAUUGUAUAUUGUCACAAAAUACAUGUCACUAUAAAAACAAUUUGGUAUUGGUAUUGUAUUGAAGGAUCGCAAAAAUUUGCGAGUUUCGAAGGAGAAAGGAGAUUGUUGUCAUCCAGUAUAGUUAUUUGGAUGGAGAGUUGUCUCAUUGGCACUUACACCACAUCUUCCUAUAUCUAGUUGAUGAAAUUAAUCUUGUCUGCUUAUUUAAUGAAUGGCUAUUAUUUUAUUUUGAAUUUAUUGAACCAUAAAAUUAAUUUUUAACUCUUAACAUUGAAUAAUCCGCGAACAAUAAAAUUAAUUUUUGACUCUUCACAUUGAAUUAUCCGCGAAGCGGAUUAUGUGAAAUAUGAAGAGUAAAAUAAUUAUUUUAUGGUUCAAUAAAUUCAAAAUAAAUAAUAGCCAUAAUGAUUCAUUAUAAAUAAAUUUCUAUCAAAAAUAAGGCCCAAAGAUCUUUUUAUAUUAUCUAUAUGAACAAUAACAACGUACACACAUGUUGGCGUAUGAAACACAACGUCAGAGUGGGCGUGUCCCAAUAAAAUUGACACCAUUGAAAAUAACAGAAAUACUUUUAACCAAUCAGAAGUUAAGGCAGUAAAUACACCAAUUUUAUUUAUUUAGCAAUGAAGGCAACAACGGAUAUGUUGCCCGACUCUCUAUAAAAGGCAAAGAAUUGAAAAAAAAGUCUGGUUUACAAACCCUAUAUUCGUAGUCGAAAAUAUAAAAUGAAGACAUCUGUAUGAUUGAUAGAGUGUGUACAUCUACGGACAUUCAAACUCUGGUUAUUCUAGACAAUAAACAGAUACUAGAGUGUAGGUAUACCGGCCCAAAAUAUGUAAUUCUUGAACACAUGUUUCUUUGUUUUGGAAUGGUAUGUGACAAGUAUGGCCAUAUUUUGCUAGGUGAUUAUCGCCAUUUUCAGAUUCAGAUGCUUCAUAAGGAUGGAACUUUCAUAGAUUUCAUAUUAGAUUCCCAUAAGGAAUACAAUUUCCGUUUUAUAUACAAAUAACAAAUGACAUGAUCUUGUGGAUAUGCAACGAAGAGGGAAGGACAGUUACAACGUUCAAGUUCUGCUUUUUAACACAAAGAAGUUAAAUUGUGUAUCAGUUCUGGUUUUUUUUUUAAUAUGUUACAUAACAAUCAAGUUCAAGUGGACGUUAUGUGUGUUCUUUAAAUCAUGAUCAACCCUACCAUAUUCUCCUGGUGUCUGUCGUCAACCAGACGUUUGUAAUUGAGUGGUUAUUGUUGGUUGCUCUCUCCAAGUUAAGUUUCUCGUUAAUUGUUUAGUGUUUAUUUUAGCAUGAACUAUGCAGUUGCUCUAAUUGUUUGAUUAUCAGGUAUGACACAUGUCACAUUUUGACUUGGUAAAGGCUUUUUUCCUAUGUUGAAAAGGGUGGAUUUAACCUGGUUUUAUAUUAUAACUACAUAAACCUCUCACUCAUAUGAUUGCCGCAUCAAAUAAAUAGCCAUAAGCUGGUGGACAUCUAAUGCAGAGUAUAUAGGACAAUCACUGUACUGCCUUAAAAUAAACAAAUUAAAAUCUGUUUAAAAAUCACGUCUAUCAAGACACGCUUACUCGUCGAGGUUCAACGGACAUUUAAAUCUGUAACUGAAUAUUAUAAGUUGAUCUCUCUCAAUAAAUCAUCUCUCCAUGGUGUUUAUGCCUAACGAUUUAUCCCUUUAGAAAAUGGUUUAAUUCUAUUUGGAUUUACCUAGUAUAUUUGAACCGUAUAUUGCAUUUUGGUGCGCUGAUACAAAUUUUACAAUUGCGUUACUUUGUUUUUCGUUCUUGUUGAUGUAUGUUAGCUUUUGAUUUUGCCAUUUGGUAAAGUUUUUUCCUUUAAAAUUGUUCAUGGAGUGCGUUACUUUUGUUAUUUUUCUUUAUUUCAAAAUCUUGUCAUUGCAAAUAAUUAAAAAUGAAAUCGUCCCCCGAGCUACAAAAACAGUUAAGACGUGAAAUAUUCAUUGUACCUUUGAUAAUGUAUAAAUAAACAGUAGUAUGCCGGUGUUUAACGGGUGUCGCAUGUGGAGCAGGAUCUACUUACCCUUCCGGAGCACCUGAGAUCACCCCUAGUUUUUGGUGGGGUUCGUGUCUUGUUUGUCAUGUAAUCGUUAGCUUUUGAAAAUCAACUAUUGCGAACAUUUUGUAAAGUUUUUAAAACCGAUCUCAACUUAAAAUUGUUUAGUUUCUGAGAGAAAUUGGAUGGUGCGUUAGAACUGUUUGUUCAAAUACAAAUUUUCUUUAGUAGUAUCAAAAUACUUGUCAUAUGAAACUAUAAAUGCAACAAGUUAAAUAAUGAAAUCCGGGUCCUCAACGAGCUACAACAGUAACAGUUUUAAGACGUGAAAAUAUUCAUUGUGCUUUGGAUAGUGUAUAUAAACAGUAAGAUAGGCCCAAAAUAUUGUUUGUUUGCCCUUUUCCGACCCUAUGUUUUGAAACAGGGUAGGUAGGUAGGUAAAAUAUUUUAUUUUUUUCCCCAAAAAAAUAACUUGGCUCGGUAUAUUAUUUGUCAUGGGUAGGCAGGUAGGUAAAAUAUUUUAUUUUAUAGAUACAAAAUCUGCAUAAUGUCAUUUUUUUGUCCGUUUUGUUUUUGCAAAUAAGUUUUCCGCUGGGACUAUUAGUUUUGAAAAAAAAAAUAUAUAAGAGAUAACUUUGUACUGGUAAGAUAAUGUCCGGGCAGACAUAUAUUACUAGUAGAAAAAGUCCCUAGAGUGUUACAAAUAAAUUUCGUGUGUGCCUUUUUUUCCAAUAAAAAUGCUAUAAGACUUAAAACUCAAUUGUCACGUAUUUUGCAUCACAUUUAUAAAUGAUCUGUAUGGAAAACUUGGCGAUUUUACUGCCAGAUAUUCUCCACUUUACAGGGUUUUGUCACUUUUGGUUCAUGUCAGAUAUAAAUAAUUUAGCGGCAUCGUUAACAUAAUCAUUCUGAUAUGCGGAUCACAAAAGGCCAUCCCUACAUAGAAUACAACGUCCGUUUACAAAUUAGUUUGUACACACGUUAAUACUUUUGUAUCAAACGAACUUUUUUGUAAAUGAACCCUGCUCUUUAAGUUUAAAGGUACAGAGUAACGUACUUCAUAUCAUGAUUUCAGAAAGCGUUCAACAUCGAUUUCAAACAAAUGCUUUGAAACUUCAAAUGCAAGUGUUCAUGUCAAACGCUCAGGUGAUACCAAACGGACUGGACCUUAUACGUAAAGAUAAAACCCGAGGAUUCCGGUAAAAAAGUUUUGAGCGGGAAAUACAAAUAUAAGAUUUUUGGUAGGAACGAAAAAAUAAAAUAAAAUAAAAUCUUGCUGGUAAAUACAAAUAAAAGAUUUUCAGGCGGAACGAAUUGAUAGGGUCGGUCGGUAAAGGGCAAACAAACAAUAUUUUAAAUUUAAGCCUUAAUAUAUGUUUGAGAGAAAUCAAAUCCGGGUUACAAAUUAAAACCGAUUGAAAAGCCUCAACUAUAAGAGGAAAAUAACGGAACAACAGGAGAACUAUAGUGCAACAAAAACAAACGCAAACAUUCAUAGAAACGAUAUUUUGGGUAAAACCUGCCAUAUAUCUGACUAAAGUAAAAACAAAAUUGGGCGGGUAAACCUACAACCUCCCGCUUUAAACAAUUUGAAAAGAAUUAAUCGUCAAAAUAACAACACCACGCGCGAGAAAUAUAGCACAAACACACGCAUUAAUAAUAACAUAGAAACGCACACAAACAAAUAAUAUGACAGUCGUCACAACAUGCAAACCGCAGAACAACAACGAACCUAAUUCUUUUAGAGUACCUGAUGCCAUCCCAUUUUUUAAUUUUUAGGGGAUCCAUGUGCUAAUUUUAAUUGAAGUGAUUUGAAGACUACUAUUUGUCUUUGCGUCGGUUUUUCCAUUAUAAUGUCGGUUACUCCUCGUGUUGUGAAUAUUGCUUUUUCCUUUAGAAAGUAAUCACUACCUUUCAUUUUAAUCUUUUUCUUAUGACUAUUUGCUUAGUCAGGUUUUUCUACUCUCAGGUAUGUAUGUUGAUAAAAUAGAGUCAACAGUAAUUUAUCGAUGAUCAUAUCUCAUAAGGCAAAAAAAGGGGUUAAACAAAAUCUGAGGAAAUCCCAUUGAAACACAUAGAAUGGUCAUUCAACAGUCCAUUGGCAAUAGUAUAUGAAACACUUCAUUUAAAUUGAAGAAUGAGUGACACGCGUCCCUUAAAAAUUGAAGUAAAUCUGACAUUCAAGUUUUUCGACUCAUGUUUCAUGGUAGCUCUUAAUGACCAGUUGUACGAAAUAAAAUUAACGGAGUUACGAUACCGGUUUUAGUGCGAAAGAUGUAAUGCGAUUUGAAAGUAAGUUUCCUACAGUAAAACUGCACACACGGAUUGAAAUCGUAUUUCAAGUGAGAGGUUUAACUACAAAACCAGGUUUAAUCCGCCACCUACUUAAGAAAAUGCCUGUAUCAAGUCAGUUUUAUUUCCAUUCGUUUAAGGUGUUUGAGCUUUUGAUUUUGCUAUUUGAUUAGGAACUUUCCGUUUUGAAUUUUCCUCAGCGUUCGGUAUUUUUGUGAUUUUACUUUUUACGUAUACCGACACUGAAGGGGAAAAAUUUAAAACCCUGAUAUUUUGGUAUUUGUCAUCAAAGUUAUACAUGAUGACAUUCUUCUAUUCAAAAGACAUUUCAAUGCUUUAGAAUAACGAAUUGGUACAUUCAAAUGAAGCAUAUUGAUUAAAUGUUUUAAUUCAAUAAAAAUAUAUGAAAAUAUAACAAUUUGUAGAUAUGUAUAUGAUAAUAGGUUUCACAUAAAAUAUAACAUUGUGAAUGCUAUUUAUCAACAAUAAAGUUAUUUUAUCACAGUGAGAAAUAUGUAUUUAUUAAUAAAUAAAAAUUAAAAAGCAAUGUUAAAAUAUAUAUCAAAUUGUUGUUGGUUUCAAAGUCAUAGAAGUAUAUCAUUGUGUUAUUGCAAUUCUUUGAAGCAUCCUAAUGGAAAGUGCAUUUAAAUUGAAGUUGCUGCAUAAUUAAGGCAACGUUGUAUAAUUCUUAAUAAUUAUCACUCUUGGAUAUCCAAAAGGUCUAUCAUGAGUUUAAAUGAUAAAUGUGAUGUGUGUUUGUUAAGGGCAUUGUAAACUUUGUUCCUGUUUUUUGCUUUUUAUUUGAAUUGCUUCCCUCUCUAAAUUGUUAAACAUGAUAUAUAUCAUUUUCAAGAAACAGACUUAAAACGUGUAAUUUUUCGUAGUCAAGCAUACAUAGAAAAAUAAUUGUAUGUGAUGUCAAAGUAUUAAUUUGAAAAAUGUAAGUAAAUGAUCAUUGAGGUGUAGUCAUCUUUAAUGAUAAUCCUAUAAACCGGAAAAACUGCAAAAAUAGACUUGUUUUGUUCACUACUACAGUUCAGGCUAAUUUUCUUCUGCAUAUGAUUUGAAGCCCUCUCAAUAUUGAAAAUACACAAUAGACUGCCUAAUUUUACCUAGUUGUUGUUUAGUUCUUUGUUUUUUAAGGAAAACAAAUCAUACAAAAAGGUGGACAUAGGGUCUCGAAAUUGUUUCGCUCACUCUUACAAUGAAUGGUACAAAAGGACAAAACCAAUCACGUGAUAUGAAGUAUAUGAGUCAAAAUCAAUAUGAAUGUAAAUAUUCAUUAUAAAAUGAUAAAUAAGAUUAACAUACUUUGUAUUUUUUUCUUCAACGUAGAAAACAAGUAAAACAAUAACAUUUAAAUGAAUCUUCAUUUAUAAAAAAUCAAACGUAAUACAUUGCAUAGUUCAAUUGCUUUUUAUAUAACCUUACGAAUAUACGUAAGCCAUGAUUGGCACUCUA
RNAcentral lists this long non-coding RNA (10537 nucleotides) under Mytilus galloprovincialis (Mediterranean mussel). Lineage: Eukaryota; Metazoa; Mollusca; Bivalvia; Mytilida; Mytilidae. The record is from RNAcentral.